This 382-nucleotide ribosomal RNA is filed under the name uncultured eukaryote. RNAcentral's name for it is "SSU rRNA". It matches the Rfam family "Eukaryotic small subunit ribosomal RNA", at positions 587 to 972 of the family's 1831-position model. The record is from RNAcentral.
AGCUCCAGUAGCGUAUAUGAAAGUUGUUGCGGUUUAAAAGCUCGUAGUUGGAUUUCUGCCGAGGACGACCGGUCCGCCCUCUGGGUGAGUAUCUGGCUUGGCCUUGGCAUCUUCUUGGAGAACGUAGCUGCACUUGACUGUGUGGUGCGGUAUCCACGACUUUUACUUUGAGGAAAUUAUAGUGUUUCAAGCAAGCAUACGCCUUGAAUACAUUAGCAUGGAAUAAUAAGAUAGGACCUUGGUUCUAUGUUGUUGGUUUCUAAAGCUGAGGUAAUGAUUAAUAGGGAUAAUUGGGGGGCAUUCGUAUUUAACUGUCAGAGGUGAAAUUAUUGGAUUUGUUAAAGACGGACUACCGCGAAAGCAUUUGCCAAGGAUGUUUUCA